RNAcentral lists this ribosomal RNA (468 nucleotides) under uncultured bacterium. RNAcentral's name for it is "partial 16S ribosomal RNA". It matches the Rfam family "Bacterial small subunit ribosomal RNA", at positions 28 to 507 of the family's 1533-position model. The record is from RNAcentral.
GACGAACGCUGGCGGCGUGCUUAACACAUGCAAGUCGAACGGAAAGGCCCUGCUUUUGUGGGGUGCUCGAGUGGCGAACGGGUGAGUAACACGUGAGUAACCUGCCCUUGACUUUGGGAUAACUUCAGGAAACUGGGGCUAAUACCGGAUAGGAGCUCCUGCUGCAUGGUGGGGGUUGGAAAGUUUCGGCGGUUGGGGAUGGACUCGCGGCUUAUCAGCUUGUUGGUGGGGUAGUGGCUUACCAAGGCUUUGACGGGUAGCCGGCCUGAGAGGGUGACCGGCCACAUUGGGACUGAGAUACGGCCCAGUCUCCUACGGGAGGCAGCAGUGGGGAAUAUUGCACAAUGGGCGGAAGCCUGAUGCAGCAACGCCGCGUGCGGGAUGAAGGCCUUCGGGUUGUAAACCGCUUUCGCCUGUGACGAAGCGUGAGUGACGGUAAUGGGUAAAGAAGCACCGGCUAACUACGUG